UCUUUUUUAAUUUAACAUUUAUCUUCUAUUAUGUACAAGAAUUCUCUUUAUUCUUUUUCUGUUAUACUUUGUAAUUUAGAUAUACUUUACAUUAACUUCUGUUUCAUAAUAUAUUUUUUUCAAAUUUUCAAUUUUUACUUUAAAUGUUUAAUUUUACAAAUGGAUAAUUUUUAUAAUAAAUUAAAUUAAAUAAUUUAUUUUUAUUAUAUUUUCAAUUGACAUAUGUUUGUAAGAUUAUGAUGUAUUUAUAAUUAAAUAAUGAAUAUUUAUAAUAUAUAUAUUCGAUUUUCGCGCGUAAAAUUAAAAUGAAUAAAAAUAAAUUGAAGUAAACCACAUCGCUUCAACUAAUCAAAAAGGCCCAGUAACGAAACGAGUCAGUGCGCAUCAUAGUGCGCAUCAUAAUGCGCAUGGCAGUAGUUCAUAGUUGAAAAUCGUGGUAACGGCUGGUCACGUUUUGUUCUGAAGUGCGAAAUACUUAAAAUUCUUACCGAUAGGAUAUGAUAUUAUAAUUAUUAUUUAUAUUUAACAAUAAGUUUUAAUAAGUUUUGUAUAAUAUGCAUUUGUUUAAUCAUUAUUAUAGCAGAAUUGAAGAUUUUUGAUGAAGAUGACGAAGGAUAAAGAUCAAUUAUCAUUUCAUUGGAACUUCGAAGACAAGAUGGCUUGAAAAAUUUCUCAUCGAGUAAAUCCCAUGAACCAUAAUGUCAUUGAUGGCAGAUUCUACGCAUCUAAUGAUGAUAUAAAAGGAAAAGAAUGAGGAAUAGAAAGAGGAUGUUAGAGCACGGAUGAGUCGAAGAAGAGUCUGACCACAUAUAGAAGAAAAGAUAUUGGCUAUAUGCGUGAAUACAGUGUGUCUUGUUUGAGACAAGGCAAACAAUCAACGAUGACAAACAAUCAUAAAGGGAAUAAGAAUUCAAUUUUCUUCAGACUUCAGCCAGAAUUGAAGAUUUUUGAUGAAGAUGACGAAGGAUAAAGAUCAAUUAUCAUUUCAUUGGAACUUCGAAGACAAGAUGGCUUGAAAA
Long non-coding RNA from Apis cerana (Asiatic honeybee), 1019 nucleotides. RefSeq lists it as uncharacterized. The record is from RefSeq and is a predicted model, not a curated record. NCBI's taxonomy places the organism in Eukaryota, Metazoa, Arthropoda, Insecta, Hymenoptera, Apidae.